This 468-nucleotide ribosomal RNA is filed under the name uncultured Streptococcus sp. Its description in RNAcentral is "bacterial SSU rRNA". It matches the Rfam family "Bacterial small subunit ribosomal RNA", at positions 914 to 1382 of the family's 1533-position model. Lineage: Bacteria; Bacillati; Bacillota; Bacilli; Lactobacillales; Streptococcaceae. The record is from RNAcentral.
ACCGGGGGCCCGCACAAGCGGUGGAGCAUGUGGUUUAAUCGAAGCAACGCGAAGAACCUUACCAGGUCUUGACAUCCCGAUGCUAUUUCUAGAGAUAGAAAGUUACUUCGGUACAUCGGUGACAGGUGGUGCAUGGUUGUCGUCAGCUCGUGUCGUGAGAUGUUGGGUUAAGUCCCGCAACGAGCGUAACCCCUAUUGUUAGUUGCCAUCAUUCAGUUGGGCACUCUAGCGAGACUGCCGGUAAUAAACCGGAGGAAGGUGGGAUGACGUCAAAUCAUCAUGCCCCUUAUGACCUGGGCUACACACGUGCUACAAUGGUUGGUACAACGAGUUGCGAGUCGGUGACGGCGAGCUAAUCUCUUAAAGCCAAUCUCAGUUCGGAUUGUAGGCUGCAACUCGCCUACAUGAAGUCGGAAUCGCUAGUAAUCGCGCAUCAGCCAUGGCGCGGUGAAUACGUUCCCGGGCCUU